This is a non-coding RNA of Camellia sinensis, 1428 nucleotides long. Lineage: Eukaryota; Viridiplantae; Streptophyta; Magnoliopsida; Ericales; Theaceae. The record is from RefSeq and is a predicted model, not a curated record.
UGUGUCACAAGUCAUUCUUUGUAAUUUCAAGCCUUUGGAUAGCCAGUCUACAAACAAGUCAUCAAAUCUAUUUGUCAAUAGAUAGGUUUCUAUACCUAUAUAUACAUAUAUACACACACACAAAAGGUAUUGCACCAUAUAGCAAAGCCAUGACAAUUAACUUGCGUUUAACAUUAAAAUGAUAUGGUUAGCAAAUUCUUUCUUCACAUAUUGAACUAUGAAAGUGGUGGAUCAUAUAUCAUGGCAAGACUAUAGGGAGUCUUCUCCCUCAUUUAAACUAGUAUAAUGACACCAUUUUAAGGUUUUCUCACUCUUGACAAAUUUUCAGCUUUUGACAUUACAUCAGUUAAGUUACUUAUUUGGUUUGUAUUGAUUGUAGGAUAAAUUUGAGAUUGGGGAGAAUUACGAGGAGAAUUCACUAUCCCAUCAAGUUGUGGAAAGGAAGUGUUAUGCGUUACAUAAAGAUUGUAAGCGUCGCUACGACACCGGGAAACUUAAUAGGAGCAAGCUACCCUACAAUCAUAGUAGUGGGUCGCGAUCUUUUCCGGCGGCGAUGAGCAUUGAGAUCAUAGGUGAAGGAAAAUGGUGGCUUCUUGCCAGAUAUUUGCGAUUUCUACAAGGACACUCAUCAGCACAAGAAGACAAAAGAAUGGAUUGAUCCUAUAUGCGGUGCUCUACAUGCAAGUAUUCCAAUCAUUUGGACACUUAUACUAACUACUGUGUUUGAUUUAUAUUAACAAUAUUCCAGUGUCACAAUUACAAGAGCAAAUGACGAUGGUGCGGGAUGAGUCUAUCGAGUCUGGAACGCUCAUGACACAAGAGAAUAUAUCAAGAGUGGUUCUUGGAAAGAAGAAGGGAUACCUGAGAGGUUUUGGGGUCGAACCAAAGCCCUCGUCUUGUGAUUCUGGGUUGAAUGCGGCAUCACAAGCACGUGAGGAGCACUUGAAAAGGCUUAUAUCCAAGUUGGAGAUACUACGUGCGGAGUAGCAGAGUGACCGUGAGGAGCAUCAAAAAAAAGAAGAGGACCAACAAAUAAAAGAUGCAGAGAAUGCAAGACAACGUCAAGAGAUGUAGGGGCAGAUUUUUGGACUUCAAGGCAUGGUGGUGCAAGUUUUGGAAAUGCUCAAUCCAUCAAAGUCCCCACCAUAGCUACUCAUGGUAAUGGAUGGAUGAUCUCGUGCACGAAGCUAAAUUGUACAGGACUAAUUGGCAGUAUAAGCAUUUUUGGAAGGAAUAUAUAUUUUUGGAUAGAUGUAUGUAUGGAAAAGAUUUGGGUGGACUGGUAGUUAUAUUUUUGGAUAGACUAGUAGUUAUAUUUUUGGAUGGAUGUGUAUGGAAAAUAUUUGGGUAGAUUACUAGUGUGUAUAUUUUUUGAUAGAUGCGCAUGGAUAACAAUUUAAAACAUAAUAACAAGUAAUUGUUAUGUUA